Molecule: ribosomal RNA, 434 nt
Filed under: uncultured bacterium
Lineage: Bacteria
Description: partial 16S ribosomal RNA
Rfam family: Bacterial small subunit ribosomal RNA
Source: RNAcentral
AGCGAACGCUGGCGGCAGGCCUAACACAUGCAAGUCGAACGAACCUUUCGGGGUUAGUGGCGGCCGGGUGAGUAACACGUGGGAACGUGCCUUUAGGUUCGGCAUAACUCAGGGAAACUUGUGCUAAUACCGAAUGUGCCCUUCGGGGGCAAGAUUUCUCGCCUUUAGAGCGGCCCGCGUCUGAUUAGCUAGUUGGUUGAGGUAAUGGCUCACCAAGGCGACGAUCAGUAGCUGGUCUGAGAGGAUGAUCAGCCACAUUGGGACUGAGACACGGCCCAGACUCCUACGGGAAGCAGCAGUGGGGAAUCUUGCGCAAUGGGGGAAAGCCUGACGCAGCCAUGCCGCGUGAAGGAUGAAGGUCUUAGGAUUGUAAAAUUCUUUCGCCGGGGACGAUAAUGACGGUACCCGGAGAAGAAGCCCCGGCUAACUUCGUG